Molecule: long non-coding RNA, 108 nt
Organism: Etheostoma cragini (Arkansas darter)
Lineage: Eukaryota; Metazoa; Chordata; Actinopteri; Perciformes; Percidae
Exons: 3
Source: RefSeq, a predicted model, not a curated record
GACCAGCUUGGUUAAAGUUUUCAAAAAGAAACUAGUAGCAGUCUUGCAAUUUGUGACCCUGCAAGAUCCCCAGUCUUUACAUAUUAUGACAAUAUGUCAGCAACGUGA